This 255-nucleotide ribosomal RNA is filed under the name uncultured bacterium. Its description in RNAcentral is "partial 16S ribosomal RNA". It matches the Rfam family "Bacterial small subunit ribosomal RNA", at positions 524 to 776 of the family's 1533-position model. The record is from RNAcentral.
UACGGGGGGAGCAAGCGUUGUUCGGAUUUACUGAGCGUAAAGGGCGCGUAGGCGGCCACCGCAAGUCGGUUGUGAAAUCUCUGGGCUUAACCCAGAAAGGUCAACCGAUACUGCGGGGCUAGAGUGCAGAAGGGGCAACUGGAAUUCUCGGUGUAGCGGUGAAAUGCGUAGAUAUCGAGAGGAACACCUGCGGCGAAGGCGGGUUGCUGGGCUGACACGUGACGCUGAAGCGCGAAAGCUAGGGGAGCGAACAGG